Bombyx mandarina (wild silkworm) is the source of this 165-nucleotide small nuclear RNA. The record is from RefSeq and is a predicted model, not a curated record. NCBI's taxonomy places the organism in Eukaryota, Metazoa, Arthropoda, Insecta, Lepidoptera, Bombycidae.
AUACUUACCUGGCGUAGGGAUACCGUGAUCAUACAGGCGGUUUCCCCAGGGUGAGGCUGCUCCAUUGCACUGCGGAGUGGUUGACCCUUGCGUUUAUUUUCAUUAUUUAUAAUUUUCACUUCUACCGUGUCCGUGUGUGACUUGCACACGCACACACUUUUUUUC